Molecule: small nucleolar RNA, 138 nt
Filed under: Ornithorhynchus anatinus (platypus)
Lineage: Eukaryota; Metazoa; Chordata; Mammalia; Monotremata; Ornithorhynchidae
Source: RNAcentral
UUCCUCUCAGGGUCGCACCUAGAGAGUUUCCAGUACUCUACCAGUCUUGACUACAGGAGGGAGAGUCAAGCAGAGGCCUAUCCAUUCCAUUUGUAGCUUGGGCAGUGGCUAGCGAGUGGAAGGCAAUCCGCUACAAGU